CAAAAAGCCGGUCUCAGUUCGGAUUGGGGUCUGCAACUCGACCCCAUGAAGUCGGAGUCGCUAGUAAUCGCAGAUCAGCAUUGCUGCGGUGAAUACGUUCCCGGGCCUUGUACACACCGCCCGUCACGUCACGAAAGUCGGUAACACCCGAAGCCGGUGGCCCAACCCCUUGUGGGAGGGAGCUGUCGAAGGUGGGACUGGCGAUUGGGACGAAGUCGUAACAAGGUAGCCGUACCGGAAGGUGCGGCUGGAUCACCUCCUUUCUAAGGAG
Molecule: ribosomal RNA, 271 nt
Filed under: Streptomyces albidoflavus
Lineage: Bacteria; Bacillati; Actinomycetota; Actinomycetes; Kitasatosporales; Streptomycetaceae
Description: partial 16S ribosomal RNA
Rfam family: Bacterial small subunit ribosomal RNA
Source: RNAcentral